AUUGAACGCUGGCGGCAUGCUUUACACAUGCAAGUCGAACGGUAACAUGGACUUCGGUCUGAUGACGAGUGGCGAACGGGUGAGUAAUGCAUCGGAACAUGCCUAGGUGUGGGGGACAACUACUCGAAAGAGUAGCUAAUACCGCAUACGAUCUAAGGAUGAAAGCGGUGGACCUUUGGGCCUCGCGCACUUAGAGUCGCCGAUGUUAGAUUAGGUAGUGGGUGGGGUAAAGGCUCACCAAGCCGACGAUCUAUAGCUGGUCUGAGAGGACGACCAGCCACACUGGGACUGAGACACGGCCCAGACUCCUACGGGGGGCAGCAGUGGGGAAUUUUGGACAAUGGGCGCAAGCCUGAUCCAGCAAUGCCGCGUGCAGGAAGAAGGCCUUCGGGUUGUAAACUGCUUUUGUACAGAGCGAAACGGUGAAGGAUAAUACCCUUUGCUAAUGACGGUACUGUAAGAAUAAGCACCGGCUAACUACGUGCCAGCCGCCGCCGUAA
RNAcentral lists this ribosomal RNA (500 nucleotides) under uncultured bacterium. Its description in RNAcentral is "partial 16S ribosomal RNA". It matches the Rfam family "Bacterial small subunit ribosomal RNA", at positions 30 to 523 of the family's 1533-position model. The record is from RNAcentral.